This is a long non-coding RNA of Corvus hawaiiensis (hawaiian crow), 586 nucleotides long. RefSeq lists it as uncharacterized. The transcript is spliced from 2 exons. Lineage: Eukaryota; Metazoa; Chordata; Aves; Passeriformes; Corvidae. The record is from RefSeq and is a predicted model, not a curated record.
ACAGACAUGCAUGACAUGACAUGACAGACAUCUGCAUUUCAUCAGAUCUGGCAGGGAUGGUCUGUGCUUGGGCAGUGGUCCACGGGUGAAUGCUUCAACCUAUGCAGAGCCUCAGAGUCACUGACCUGCAGCCCUGCAGUCCUGCAGCCCCACCCUCCCUGGAGGAUGACAUUUGUGUUGAUAAGAGAGCUUCUGAAGAGUCUCUACAGGAAAAGAUGGACCAGAAUUCCAUCUCUAAGGGAUUCGAGGCAGUCUGUGCAUAUCUGCUGUAUAUGCAACCACAUAUCUAUGUCUUAGAGUUUAUGUAUAUAACAGAAUCACAGAAUCACAGAGUCAUCAAGUCAGUUAGGUUGGAAAAGACCUCUGAGAUUUUGAGUCCAGCCUGUGACUCAACAUCACCAUGUCGAGUAGACCUGAGUGCCUCAUCCAGUCAUUCCUUAAACGCCUCCAGGAUGGUGACUCCACCACCUCCUUGGGCCUGUUCCAGUGUCUAAUCUCCCUUUCUGUGAAGAAAGUCUUCUUCAUAUCCAACCUAAAUGAGAUCAACACGCAGAAAAAGUGCAUCCAAUAAAGAACCUUAAAUAAC